RNAcentral lists this ribosomal RNA (1516 nucleotides) under Eutropis multifasciata (many-lined sun skink). RNAcentral's name for it is "16S ribosomal RNA". It matches the Rfam family "Bacterial large subunit ribosomal RNA". Lineage: Eukaryota; Metazoa; Chordata; Lepidosauria; Squamata; Scincidae. The record is from RNAcentral.
GCUAAAACAUAGCCCGAAUACCAAAACAAAACCUCCAUAAAACAAAACAAAUCAUUUGACAAAACCAGUAUAUGAGAUAGAACAUUAAUUUCGGCGCGACAAAGAAAGUACCGUAAGGGAACUGUGAAAGAACAAUGAAACAAAUAAAGCAAAAAAAAGCAAAGACCAAUCCUUGUACCUUUUGCAUCAUGGUUUAGCAAGAAAAUACAGACAAAGAGAACUUAAGCCUGUCCACCCGAAACCCGGUGAGCUACUACGAGGCAACUGAAAGAGUGAACCCGUCUCUGUGGCAAAAGAGUGGGAAGACCCCGUAGUAGAGGUGAAAAGCCAAACGAACCUGGUGAUAGCUGGUUGCUCAAUAAACGAAUUUAAGUUCAACUUUAGGCUAACAAAGACCGAAUAUUGUCCACACCUAAAAGCUAUUCAAUGAAGGUACAGCUUCAUUGAAACAGGAUACAGCCUGUACUAGAGAGAAAAAAUCUAUUUAUUACCCCCAGUAAGCCUUAAAGCCGCUAUCAGACACAAAAGCGUCACAGCACAAAACAAUAAAUCCCACUAAAAACCCUGACCUCCUAGUCUCACACUGAGCCACCCUAUAAACAUAGGCAAACUAAUGCUAAAACUAGUAACAAGAGUCCCUCUCUCUUUAGCACAUCUGUGCCCCAGAAAUAGAAAAUCUACUGGCAAUUAACAGACCAAAACAGGCACCACACAAACCGUGCCCUCCACCUGUCAACCCAACACCGGCGUGCUACUAAGACAGAUUAAAAGUCAUAUAAGGAACUCAGCAAACCCCCUGUCCCAACUGUUUACCAAAAACAUAGCCUUUAGCUAAACAAGUAUUAAAGGUCCCGCCUGCCCAGUGAAAUAUUUUAACGGCCGCGGUAUUCUAACCGUGCAAAGGUAGCGUAAUCACUUGUCUUCUAAAUAAAGACUAGUAUGAACGGCUAAAUGAGGACAAAACUGUCUCUUAUGACUAAUCAGUGAAACUGAUCUACCAGUACAAAAGCUGGUAUUGCUACAUAAGACGAGAAGACCCUGUGGAGCUUAAAACAAACCACUACCCCCUAAGACCCCUAGUGUACUGUUUUAAGUUGGGGCGACUUCGGAACAAAACAAAACUUCCGAGCAUAGAUCCACCAGAUCUGAGCCAAGGCCUACAAGCCAAAAUAAAAACUGACCCGGCCCAAGCCGAUCAACGAACCAAGUUACCCCAGGGAUAACAGCGCUAUCUUCUUCAAGAGUCCAUAUCGACAAGAAGGUUUACGACCUCGAUGUUGGAUCAGGACACCCAAGUGGUGCAGCCGCUACUAAAGGUUCGUUUGUUCAACGAUUAACAGUCCUACGUGAUCUGAGUUCAGACCGGAGAAAUCCAGGUCGGUUUCUAUCUAUGAGUUAUCUUCUUCAGUACGAAAGGACAAAGAAGAAAGGACAAACAUUAGGCACACGUCCUAAACUGACAGGCUGAAUAAAACUAAAGCCAACAAAACUCUACAACAGCCGCAGAUAACGGCUU